CACGGGAGCAAUCCUGGUGGCGAGUGGCGAACGGGUGAGUAAUAUAUCGGAACGUGCCCAGUCGUGGGGGAUAACGCAGCGAAAGCUGUGCUAAUACCGCAUACGAUCUACGGAUGAAAGCGGGGGAUCGCAAGACCUCGCGCGAUUGGAGCGGCCGAUAUCAGAUUAGCUAGUUGGUGGGGUAAAGGCCCACCAAGGUGACGAUCUGUAGCUGGUCUGAGAGGACGACCAGCCACACUGGAACUGAGACACGGUCCAGACUCCUACGGGAGGCAGCAGUGGGGAAUUUUGGACAAUGGGCGCAAGCCUGAUCCAGCAAUGCCGCGUGCAGGAUGAAGGCCUUCGGGUUGUAAACUGCUUUUGUACGGAACGAAACGGUCUCUUCUAAUAAAGGAGGCUAAUGACGGUACCGUAAGAAUAAGCACCGGCUAACUACGUGCCAGCAGCCGCGGUAAUACGUAGGGUGCGAGCGUUAAUCGGAAUUACUGGGCGUAAAGCGUGCGCAGGCGGUUAUAUAAGACAGAUGUGAAAUCCCCGGGCUCAACCUGGGACCUGCAUUUGUGACUGUAUAGCUAGAGUACGGUAGAGGGGGAUGGAAUUCCGCGUGUAGCAGUGAAAUGCGUAGAUAUGCGGAGGAACACCGAUGGCGAAGGCAAUCCCCUGGACCUGUACUGACGCUCAUGCACGAAAGCGUGGGGAGCAAACAGGAUUGGAUACCCUGGUAGUCCACGCCCUAAACGAUGUCAACUGGUUGUUGGGUCUUCACUGACUCAGUAACGAAGCUAACGCGUGAAGUUGACCGCCUGGGGAGUACGGCCGCAAGGUCGAAACUCAAAGGAAUUGACGGGGACCCGCACAAGCGGUGGAUGAUGUGGUUUAAUUCGAUGCAACGCGAAAAACCUUACCCACCUUUGACAUGUA
This 921-nucleotide ribosomal RNA is filed under the name uncultured bacterium. Its description in RNAcentral is "bacterial SSU rRNA". It matches the Rfam family "Bacterial small subunit ribosomal RNA", at positions 72 to 990 of the family's 1533-position model. The record is from RNAcentral.